Molecule: long non-coding RNA, 322 nt
Organism: Mercenaria mercenaria
Lineage: Eukaryota; Metazoa; Mollusca; Bivalvia; Venerida; Veneridae
Exons: 2
Source: RefSeq, a predicted model, not a curated record
UCUAAUCAAAGUAGUGUCUGCAUGUAGAUCCGAGGUGAAAGAGGCAACUUAUUUUAAAGCAGACGAGAGAGUAUGAAGGCUUUCGUUAUUUCCUUAGUUCUGGUAGUUUCUGUGUUUGCGUGUCAUCAGAAGGCAGACUGUAACAUGGUGUCAUGUGAGAAACAUGACGAAACACCCCAAUGCUUAAAUGGAGCUUGCGCAUGUCUAAAUGGACAUUGUAAUGCCUAAAAUAUUCAUACCACCCGGACAGAACCAGACGUUUGUUUGUUAGAAAGAAUAUGACAUAAACCAUUUUCUUGAAUAAAUACAAAACAUAAACAGA